RNAcentral lists this ribosomal RNA (732 nucleotides) under uncultured Vibrionaceae bacterium. RNAcentral's name for it is "bacterial SSU rRNA". It matches the Rfam family "Bacterial small subunit ribosomal RNA", at positions 395 to 1119 of the family's 1533-position model. The record is from RNAcentral. Lineage: Bacteria; Pseudomonadati; Pseudomonadota; Gammaproteobacteria; Vibrionales; Vibrionaceae.
UGCCGCGUGUAUGAAGAAGGCCUUCGGGUUGUAAAGUACUUUCAGCAGUGGGGAAGGGUGUGUAGUUAAUAGCUGCAUACUUUGACGUUAGCUGCAGAAGAAGCACCGGCUAACUCCGUGCCAGCAGCCGCGGUAAUACGGAGGGUGCGAGCGUUAAUCGGAAUUACUGGGCGUAAAGCGCAUGCAGGUGGUUUGUUAAGUCAGAUGUGAAAGCCCGGGGCUCAACCUCGGAACCGCAUUUGAAACUGGCAGGCUAGAGUACUGUAGAGGGGGGUAGAAUUUCAGGUGUAGCGGUGAAAUGCGUAGAGAUCUGAAGGAAUACCAGUGGCGAAGGCGGCCCCCUGGACAGAUACUGUUACUCAGAUGCGAAAGCGUGGGGAGCAAACAGGAUUAGAUACCCUGGUAGUCCACGCCGUAAACGAUGUCUACUUGGAGGUUGUGGCCUUGAGCCGUGGCUUUCGGAGCUAACGCGUUAAGUAGACCGCCUGGGGAGUACGGUCGCAAGAUUAAAACUCAAAUGAAUUGACGGGGGCCCGCACAAGCGGUGGAGCACGUGGUUUAAUUCGAUGCAACGCGAAGAACCUUACCUACUCUUGACAUCCAGAGAACUUUCCAGAGAUGGAUUGGUGCCUUCGGGAACUCUGAGACAGGUGCUGCAUGGCUGUCGNCAGCUCGUGUUGUGAAAUGUUGGGUUNAGUCCCGCAACGAGCGCAACCCUUAUCCUUGUUUGNC